AGGGAGAGAGAGGAGGAGGAGGUACAGAGAGAGAGAAAGAGGAGCAGAGACAGAGAAGACAGAGAGAGAAAAAACUUUAAUUUAUAGAAGAGGUUUGCUCAAAUGAUGAUCGCAGAGCGCACAUGGAUUCGGUAGAACUUUCGCUCCCUGAGUGUUUUUCCCUGCACUCCGAACAACAAAUGAAUUUAUCAAAGGCCCAAGUUAAUAGCGAAGAUAAGUACGCCAAAUGCGGCGCUUGGAGAACACAACAGCAAUACGACAUCGAGGCCAGUCACAUGCGUGAUGCACAUGCUCUAUAUAACCAAAGGUAAGGAAAGGACCAAAAAUAGUGUCAUCAAAAGCCAAAAUCUGUUCUGAUGAUUAUUAUUUUUUUGUUUGUUUGUAUGUUUGUUUGUGUUAUGCCUGCCCAGCUAUUAUUUAUCCAUGCUUGCUUCAUUCAAGUCAGUGUCUUAGUCUAGUUCAUCCAGUGUUUGUGCGUGUUGUCAAAUAGCAGGACAUAAUUUCUGCAUGUUGUACCCAUUGUCUGCUGUCAACCUGGUCCUAGGCUGUUCCUAUUAAUGUGCAAGAGGCUAAUACAAAGUAACCAGAUCAUUUUUAUGUGUUUUAUAUCUCAAUGUUUGUGUGUUGGUGGAGGGACAUGUCUACAUCUGUUUACAUCUGCCUCAAGCUAUGUUGAUGGAUGGAUGGAUGGAUGGAUGGAUGGAUGGAUGGAUGGACUAUAGAUGUGGAUAAGGGAAAGUUUAUGUUGAGUUUAUUGGUAUAGGUUGGAGAGGUUGCAAGUUGUCGCCCCCUCCAGAUGCAGAGGAAUGUGUUAAAUGCUUCAAGGAUUCCGAUUAGCAUAUAAAUUUAGAUGUAUGAAGAUCAUUGCUCUGAUCACGCGUCAGGGAGUUUUAUCCAGGUAUAGUGGCAGCUCAUUUUCGUAUAUAAUACAGCCAGAGGUGACCAGCUAAGAGUGCUCACCAGGCCCUUCUAUCUCUCUCUCACUCUCUCUCUCAGGCCAUCUUCUGUAAAAUGUCUUUGUUUGACUUGUAAUUUCAAUGUCAUUUAUGGUUAUUACUUUAGAGGUUACUGAAGGGUCAGAGAGAAAAGUGCCUUCACUUGUUUGAUUUAUUUUUAAAUGUUAAAUUUUAUUCUGUUGGGUAUUUUAAUUUUCAGUAACAUUUGUAUUCAUUCAUUCAUUUUUUUAAAUUAUAUAUAUAUAUUUCAAGAAACUGCAAAUAUGGAAUGUUUGUUAACACUGUAAACAAGUGAAUUAUCUUUAAUGUGUUUAAAGGUACUUCUGAGGAGUUUUUUUUUUUUAAGUGCAAUGAC
Cyprinus carpio (common carp) is the source of this 1311-nucleotide long non-coding RNA. NCBI's taxonomy places the organism in Eukaryota, Metazoa, Chordata, Actinopteri, Cypriniformes, Cyprinidae. The record is from Ensembl.